CCGCUCUCCACCAGUAAGGAUACAACAAGGAGAGGCCGCCUACAAGCCAGGAAGACAAUCGUUCAGUAGCCUUCAGAUCCGCCAACACCUUGAUCCUGGGCUUGCGGCUGCCAGACCUGUGAGAAAGCGAUGCCCAUUGUUUAAGCCCCUGGUCUUUGAUCUGUUACCGCAGCGCGAGCUGACCACGCACUCAGUGUGAGGCGAUGACCUUUUUCUCAACCAUGCGCAAGUGGUAUUUCUGCGUGCUUCAAAUAUCACAGGCCGGAUUGUCAGGAAACCAAGGAGGGGCCUUUUGGAAGAGAAUGAUGCUGAGCAUCCGGGUCCCUGGACAGCCAGCAGCCCUGAGGCAGACAGAAGUUUGGACAACUCAGGACAGGGAGCUUGGAGGGCAGCCCCUACAUGUCGGAGUGGUCCCUACCUGUGUUGCCUCAACUCUUCCUUCAAGGCAAGAGCCGCUAAGGACAGUCAGGACAUCCUACCGCCCAAGGCUGUUGAGCUCGGCCGGCCAAGGACUACAGGAAGGAUGGCUGGGGAGGCCUCAGGAAACUUACAGUCACAGCGGAAGGCAAAGAGGAAGCAGGCAGCGGCUUCGUGGCAGGAGCAGGAGGAAGGCGGUGGGGAGGUGCUACAUACUUUUAAACAACUGGAUCUUGUGAGAACUCACUAUCACGAGAACAGCAAGGGGGAAUUCUGCGCCCUGAUCCAGUCACCUCCCACCAGGCUCCUCCUCCAACAGUGGGGAUUACAAUUCGACAUGAGAUUUGAGUGGGGACACAGAUCCAAACCAUAUCAGUGUCAUUAAAAAAAUAGUUGCCCUGCUAACUUUUUUAAUCCCCUGUAACUCUAAAUAAAAUAAUGAUGUGAAC
Molecule: long non-coding RNA, 866 nt
Filed under: Homo sapiens (human)
Lineage: Eukaryota; Metazoa; Chordata; Mammalia; Primates; Hominidae
Description: HSALNT0391781
Source: RNAcentral